Molecule: ribosomal RNA, 594 nt
Filed under: Heterorhabditis atacamensis
Lineage: Eukaryota; Metazoa; Nematoda; Chromadorea; Rhabditida; Heterorhabditidae
Description: eukaryotic LSU rRNA
Rfam family: Eukaryotic large subunit ribosomal RNA
Source: RNAcentral
GUGAGGGAAAGUUGCAAAGAACUUUGAAGAGAGAGUUCAAGAGAACGUGAAAUCGCUGAAGUGGAACCGGAGAGAGUUAACAUAACUUGGUAGCUAUAUUCUCUAUAGUCGCUUAACUGUGGCUCUGGGGAGUGGACGCUACCUGUUGUUGCACUGACUGCGUUGAUCGUGCUUUCCGAACAGUGUAGUGUUGCCCACUUUGUGGUGUCUUGCUUACUGGGAGGUUUGUCAUGGUUAACGUAUAGCCUUAGUCCCGAGGGAGUCAGUGUGAAAGUUAACCACCUUUCCGACCCGUCUUGAAACACGGACCGAGGAGUGUAAGUUAUACGCGAGUCAAGGAGUGGUGAAAACUCUAGGGGCGGAAUGAAAGUAAAGACUAGUUAACUAGUUGACAUGGGAUCCGCUCUUCGGAGCGGCGCACCAUGGCCCUGUCUUGUCUGCUUGCAGAUGGGCAGCGGUAGAGCGUAUAGCUUGCGACCCGAAAGAUGGUGAACUAUGCUUGAGCAGGACGAAGCCAGAGGAAACUCUGGUGGAAGUCCGUAUCGGUUCUGACGUGCAAAUCGAUCGAUAGACUUGGGUAUAGGGGCGAAAGAC